AACGAACGCUGGCGGCAGGCUUAACACAUGCAAGUCGAACGGAUCCUUCGGGAUUAGUGGCAGACGGGUGAGUAACGCGUGGGAACGUACCCUUUGCUACGGAAUAACUCAGGGAAACUUGAGCUAAUACCGUAUGUGCCCUACGGGGGAAAGAUUUAUCGGCAAAGGAUCGGCCCGCGUUGGAUUAGCUAGUUGGUGGGGUAAUGGCCUACCAAGGCGACGAUCCAUAGCUGGUCUGAGAGGAUGAUCAGCCACACUGGGACUGAGACACGGCCCAGACUCCUACGGGAGGCAGCAGUGGGGAAUAUUGGACAAUGGGCGCGAGCCUGAUCCAGCCAUGCCGCGUGAGUGAUGAAGGUCUUAGGAUUGUAAAGCUCUUUCACCGGUGAAGAUAAUGACGGUAGCCGGAGAAGAAGCCCCGGCUAACUUCGUG
Molecule: ribosomal RNA, 433 nt
Filed under: uncultured bacterium
Lineage: Bacteria
Description: partial 16S ribosomal RNA
Rfam family: Bacterial small subunit ribosomal RNA
Source: RNAcentral